GUGCUUGCUUCUACUGCACAUGUGUUCUCAAAUUGGAACAACACAGAGAAGAUUAGCAUAGCCCCUGCCAAAGAAUGAUAUGCAAAUUCGUAAAGUGUUCCACAUUUUU
Molecule: small nuclear RNA, 109 nt
Organism: Rattus norvegicus (Norway rat)
Lineage: Eukaryota; Metazoa; Chordata; Mammalia; Rodentia; Muridae
Source: Ensembl